Molecule: ribosomal RNA, 505 nt
Filed under: uncultured bacterium
Lineage: Bacteria
Description: partial 16S ribosomal RNA
Rfam family: Bacterial small subunit ribosomal RNA
Source: RNAcentral
GACGAACGCUGGCGGCGUGCCUAAUACAUGCAAGUAGAACGCACAGUUUAUACCGUAGCUUGCUACACCAUAGACUGUGAGUUGCGAACGGGUGAGUAACGCGUAGGUAACCUGCCUGGUAGCGGGGGAUAACUAUUGGAAACGAUAGCUAAUACCGCAUAAUAUUAAUUAUUGCAUGAUAAUUAAUUGAAAGGUGCAAUUGCACCACUACCAGAUGGACCUGCGUUGUAUUAGCUAGUAGGUGAGGUAACGGCUCACCUAGGCGACGAUACAUAGCCGACCUGAGAGGGUGAUCGGCCACACUGGGACUGAGACACGGCCCAGCCUCCUACGGGAGGCAGCAGUAGGGAAUCUUCGGCAAUAGACGAAAGUCUGACCGAGCAACGCCGCGUGAGUGAAGAAGGUUUUCGGAUCGUAAAGCUCUGUUGUAAGAGAAGAACGGGUGUGAGAGUGGAAAGUUCACACUGUGACGGUAUCUUACCAGAAAGGGACGGCUAACUACGUG